Small nuclear RNA from Phodopus roborovskii (desert hamster), 167 nucleotides. RefSeq annotates it as U1 spliceosomal RNA. The record is from RefSeq and is a predicted model, not a curated record. NCBI's taxonomy places the organism in Eukaryota, Metazoa, Chordata, Mammalia, Rodentia, Cricetidae. The transcript has a single exon.
AUACUUACCUAGCAGGGGAGAUACCAUGAUCACGAAGGUGGUUUUCCCAGGCAAGACUAAUCCAUUGCACUCCGGAUGUGCUGAAACCUGCGAUUUCCCCAAAUGCAGAAAACUCGACUACAUAAUUUGUAGUGGGGGGGGGGCAACCGUAUUUGUGCUUUCCCUUG